This is a long non-coding RNA of Boleophthalmus pectinirostris (great blue-spotted mudskipper), 361 nucleotides long. RefSeq lists it as uncharacterized. The record is from RefSeq and is a predicted model, not a curated record. The transcript has 3 exons. NCBI's taxonomy places the organism in Eukaryota, Metazoa, Chordata, Actinopteri, Gobiiformes, Gobiidae.
CGGAACUGACGAAACGGAGGAAUUCAUUACGGGCACGCGCACACGAACACGUACCGACCGUCCAUCGUGAAUGCGGCACAAUGCUUCACUCGACCGUGGAACUACUGGAGUUGUAAUACAGAGGGACCAAAAGUUUCCCGAAUGCCCUCCUCAUCUGUUCUGCAUCAGGAACAGUCCAAACAGCGGCCCAUGCCCGGAGGUGCAGCACUGAGCAGUUAACAUGAAGGUUUGGUGUUUUACAGCUGUGUUUUCCCCUGGAUCAGCUUGGUUUACGGCAGACUCUGGGUCACGCACAGCAUCUCAGCACUGGCAACGUCAAAGGGGGUACAGACCACUUCAAAGUUUAAACACUAAUCCCACC